This 483-nucleotide ribosomal RNA is filed under the name uncultured bacterium. RNAcentral describes it as "partial 16S ribosomal RNA". It matches the Rfam family "Bacterial small subunit ribosomal RNA", at positions 355 to 824 of the family's 1533-position model. The record is from RNAcentral.
UGGGGAAUUUUGGACAAUGGGCGAAAGCCUGAUCCAGCAAUGCCGCGUGUGUGAAGAAGGCCUUCGGGUUGUAAAGCACUUUUGUCCGGAAAGAAAUCCUUGGCUCUAAUACAGUCGGGGGAUGACGGUACCGGAAGAAUAAGCACCGGCUAACUACGUGCCAGCAGCCGCGGUAAUACGUAGGGUGCAAGCGUUAAUCGGAAUUACUGGGCGUAAAGCGUGCGCAGGCGGUUUGCUAAGACCGAUGUGAAAUCCCCGGGCUCAACCUGGGAACUGCAUUGGUGACUGGCAGGCUAGAGUAUGGCAGAGGGGGGUAGAAUUCCACGUGUAGCAGUGAAAUGCGUAGAGAUGUGGAGGAAUACCGAUGGCGAAGGCAGCCCCCUGGGCCAAAUACUGACGCUCAUGCAUCGAAAAGCGUGGGGGAGCAAAACAGGAUUAGAUACCCUGGUAGUCCACGCCCUAAAACGAUGUCAACUAGUUGUU